UACCGCAUACGCCCUACGGGGGAAAGCAGGGGAUCGCAAGACCUUGCACUAUUAGAGCGGCCGAUAUCGGAUUAGCUAGUUGGUGGGGUAACGGCUCACCAAGGCGACGAUCCGUAGCUGGUUUGAGAGGACGACCAGCCACACUGGGACUGAGACACGGCCCAGACUCCUACGGGAGGCAGCAGUGGGGAAUUUUGGACAAUGGGGGAAACCCUGAUCCAGCCAUCCCGCGUGUGCGAUGAAGGCCUUCGGGUUGUAAAGCACUUUUGGCAGGAAAGAAACGUCAUGGGUUAAUACCCUGUGAAACUGACGGUACCUGCAGAAUAAGCACCGGCUAACUACGUGCCAGCAGCCGCGGUAAUACGUAGGGUGCAAGCGUUAAUCGGAAUUACUGGGCGUAAAGCGUGCGCAGGCGGUUCGGAAAGAAAGAUGUGAAAUCCCAGAGCUUAACUUUGGAACUGCAUUUUUAACUACCGAGCUAGAGUGUGUCAGAGGGAGGUGGAAUUCCGCGUGUAGCAGUGAAAUGCGUAGAU
Molecule: ribosomal RNA, 533 nt
Filed under: Achromobacter sp.
Lineage: Bacteria; Pseudomonadati; Pseudomonadota; Betaproteobacteria; Burkholderiales; Alcaligenaceae
Description: bacterial SSU rRNA
Rfam family: Bacterial small subunit ribosomal RNA
Source: RNAcentral